This 354-nucleotide ribosomal RNA is filed under the name Gayennoides losvilos. Its description in RNAcentral is "partial 16S ribosomal RNA". Lineage: Eukaryota; Metazoa; Arthropoda; Arachnida; Araneae; Anyphaenidae. The record is from RNAcentral.
UUGUGCUAAGGUAGCAUAAUCAUUUGUCUUUUAAUUGAAGACUAGAACAAAAGAUUUAACAAUUCAAUCAAUAUAUAAAAUUAAAUAUAAUAAUUUAUUUUAAAUGUAAAAAAACAUUUAUAAUUUAGGAAGACGACAAGACCCUAUUAAACUUAACUGUAGUUUAACUGGGGCAGUUAAUCAAUUAUAAUUUUAAUAAAAAACAAUAAUAUAAAAGAUCCAAUAAAAUUGAUUAAAUGAUCAAGUUACUAUAGGGAUAACAGCGUAAUAUUUAUCUAAAGAUCUAAUUUAAAUAAAAGAUUACGACCUCGAUGUUGAAUUAAUAGCCUAAAUUAUUGCAAUAAGUAAAUAAAG